Molecule: ribosomal RNA, 253 nt
Filed under: uncultured bacterium
Lineage: Bacteria
Description: partial 16S ribosomal RNA
Rfam family: Bacterial small subunit ribosomal RNA
Source: RNAcentral
UACGAAGGGUGCAAGCGUUACUCGGAAUUACUGGGCGUAAAGCGUGCGUAGGUGGUUUGUUAAAUCUGAUGUGAAAGCCCUGGGCUCAACCUGGGAAUUGCAUUGGAUACUGGCAGGCUAGAGUGCGGUAGAGGAUGGCGGAAUUCCCGGUGUAGCAGUGAAAUGCGUAGAGAUCGGGAGGAACAUCUGUGGCGAAGGCGGCCAUCUGGACCAGCACUGACACUGAGGCACGAAAGCGUGGGGAGCAAACAGG